RNAcentral lists this transfer RNA (66 nucleotides) under Homalogaster paloniae. RNAcentral describes it as "tRNA-Lys". It matches the Rfam family "tRNA". From Rfam's summary of the family: Transfer RNA (tRNA) molecules are approximately 80 nucleotides in length. Their secondary structure includes four short double-helical elements and three loops (D, anti-codon, and T loops). The record is from RNAcentral. Lineage: Eukaryota; Metazoa; Platyhelminthes; Trematoda; Gastrodiscidae.
CUAUAAAUAGCUUAUUUUGAAAGUUUAGGAUUCUUACUCCUGAGAUGUGUUGAGACACUUUAUAGG